Molecule: long non-coding RNA, 2379 nt
Organism: Homo sapiens (human)
Lineage: Eukaryota; Metazoa; Chordata; Mammalia; Primates; Hominidae
Gene: FAM27C
Product: family with sequence similarity 27 member C
Source: Ensembl
AGUGGUUCCCACGGUUGUCUUAGAAACCAGACCCCGAGGCUUGGCAGAGCAGGAGCCCUCGGUGGCAGUGCUUGGGUGUCGAGGCUCUGAGGCUCCGGCCUCACCUCUCCACGGGGUCGAAGGGAACGUCUCCGGAUGCCAGGAGUCGCAAAGGGCCGACCAUGAUGAUGAAACCCCAGGCAGAGACGGGGGAAGCAGCACGGGAUCCCAGCCUCAGGCCUGCACGGACGGUGUUGGUUGGGAGACGAGGUCUCACUAUAUUGACCAGGCUGGUCUUGAACUCCUGGCCUUAAGCGAUCCUCCUGCCUUGGCCUCCCAAAGUGCUGGAGUUACAGAUGUGAGCCUCUGUGCUCAGUCCAUCCUUGGCUGUUCAAGUGUAGAGCCCUCAGCAACCACCACCUCGAUCAGUCACUAGCUAUCAACAUUGAGACAAGACCAUCCAGCAGCAAAAUGAUGAUGACUUACUGAAGGCCCAGAUGAUGGUUAGCAGUUUUUGGCAAUCACGUAUUUUCAAAGGACACGGCUUCCCCUGAACGCGGAUCCUAGAGGCCAGGCAGAAGCAGCAUGGGUUUCCACUCACACGGUAGGCGGCUGUGCAAUUUCGUCUGGAGUCCCCAGACCCCUCCUCAUCCUUCCCAGGGUUGCUCUGAGGCCAUUCCUUGUCAUCUAGGAGGGGUCUACAUAAAAGCAUUUAUAAACACCUCCAAAUGGGAGCCAGGCGUGCCCACCUUUGGAGCACUUUUCUCUACUGCAAAUUUAUCUACUGCUCGUGAAAUCUCUGGAUUUAACUCUGAUGAAAGACUGGAGGCUGAAGGAGAACUUCAAUAUCAUAUAUUUUAAAGGUUGAUUCACAGUUUGGAGCAAGAAUUAAAGAACCACGAACUUCAAGGUAAAACGGGCAACGGCGUUGGGGCAAGCCUCUCUGCAUCUGCGUGUCCAGCCUCUCCUGCGUGCCAGAAGUUCCCAGGCAGGAGUGUGGUGGGACAUCCGGCUGGGGUAAGGACAGGCACCCUCCCACUGUGUCAGGGCCCAGAGAGUGGGUGGAGAAGCUCUGCAAGAGACCUGUGCAAGGGCGCCUUGCAGGAGCCUGCAGUCCCCACAGGUGUGUUUGUGGAUAACACUUGGGGAGCCCUGGCCUUUUGGGGUCACGGAGGGCUUGGCCUCUCACCUCAGAGCUGCAGAGAAGCCGCUUCUACAUCAGGACAUCAGAAGCUGGAACAGGAUGGCCGGCGAGGGGCCUCUUGUUGGGGUCACAGAGAUGGGUCGCAGAGAUGGCCCGUGUGGAAGGUUGGAUUCUCACCCCACCUCUGCCCCUAGAUGUCCUGGUGACCCUCCCCUCUGUAGUCUUGGUUUUUUGCAAAACAGUUAUGACCUCCUGCCAUACUGGGUACUUUGCUUAUGUAUUGUGUUUACUCUUUACUGUGUGUCUCUCCUGCUAAGGUCUACGAAGAAGGGUCUUUGUGGGUGGGGUUCUUAGAGGCAUCCCAAGUACCAGAAGCAGUCCCUGGACUAAGGGGCUCAAUAAAUAUUUUUUAUUUAUUAUUUUUUCUUUUUGAGAUGGAGUCUCGCUCUCUUGACCAGGCUGGAGUACAGUGGCACAAUCUUGGCUCACUGCAGCCUUCGCCUCCUGGGUUCAAGUGAUUUCCGGCUAAUUUUUGUAUUUUUAGUAGUGACGGGGUAUCACCAUGUUGGCCAGGCUGGUCACAAACUCCUGACCUCAAGUGAUCCACCCGCCUCAGCCUCCCAACAUGCUGGGAUUAUAGACAUGAGCCACCAUGCCUGGCCAAAUAUUUGUCAAAUUGAAUUUGUAUUUCCAUACAAAUUUUAGUCUGGAUAAAGUGCUUCAUGCCUGUAAUCCAAGCACUUUGAGAGGCUGAGGCGGGUGGAUGGCUUGAGCCCAGGAGUUUGAGACCAGCAUGGAAAACAUAGAGAAACCCCAUCUCAAUAUAAGAAGAAGAAGAAAAAGAAAAAAAAAAUCAAAAACGAAAACAACACAAAUUUUAGAGUAAGUAUUUUAAGUUCCACAAAAACCUGGUUAGGAUUUGGAUAGCAAUUUCUUUAGUUCUACAAAUCAAUUUGGAAAAAAUUAAUUAAUUUGGGAAGAAUUCAUUUUGAGUCUUCUAAUCCAUGAACAUGGUAUCUCCAUUUGUUUAGACCAUCUUUAAUGCCUACUAAUAACAUUUCUGUAUAGUGACCUUGCACAUUAUUCUUAGAUUCUUGAUAUUUUGUGCUAUUAUGUCUUUUUAUAAAUUUUAUUUUUCCAACAUUGUUGCUAAUAUAUAGUAAGAAAAUGGAAUCUUGCCUAUAGAUUUUGAACCCAACAACUUUGCUAAACUCCUCUGAAUCCUCAGAAUUUCCCUGUGGAUUAUGUAGGCUCUU